CAAUAGCGUAUAUUAAAGUUGUUGCGGUUAAAAGCUCGUAAGUUGGAUUUCUGCUGAGGACGACCGGUCCGCCUCUGGUGAGUAUCUGGUUCGGCCUGGGCAUCUUCUUGGAGAGCGUAGCUGCACUUGACUGUGUGGUGCGGUAUCCAGGACUUUUACUUUUGAGGAAAUUAGAGUGUUUCAAGCAGGCACACGCCUUGAAUACAGUAGCAUGGAAUAAUAAGAUAGGACCUCGGUUCUAUUUUGUUGGUUUCUAGAGUCUGAGGUAAUGAUUAAUAGGAUAGUUGGGGCGAUUAGGUAUUUUAAUUGUUCAGAGGUGGAAAUUCUCGGAUUUGUUAAAGACUAACUUAUGCGAAAGCAUUUGCCAAGGAUGUUUCAUUGAUCAAGAACGAAAGUUAGGGGAGUCGAAGAUGAUCAGAU
This 420-nucleotide ribosomal RNA is filed under the name uncultured eukaryote. Its description in RNAcentral is "SSU rRNA". It matches the Rfam family "Eukaryotic small subunit ribosomal RNA", at positions 592 to 1013 of the family's 1831-position model. The record is from RNAcentral.